GAUGAGAACGUAGCAAAAUGCGAUACUUGGUGUGAAUUGCAGAAUCCCGUGAACCAUCGAGUUUUUGAACGCAAGUUGCGCCCGAAGCCUUUUGGCCGAGGGCACGUCUGCCUGGGCGUCACGCAUCGCGUCGCCCCCCACAAUUCUCCGUAAAAGGAACAUGUGUUUUGGGGGCGGAUAUUGGUCUCCCGUGCUCAUGGCGUGGUUGGCCGAAAUAGGAGUCCUUUCGAUGGACGCACGAACUAGUGGUGGUCGUAAAAACCCUCGUCUUUUGUUUCGUGCUGUUGCUCGCAAGGUAAACUCUUUAAAAACCCCAAUGUGUCGUCUCUUGACGACGCUUCGACCGCGACCCCAGGUCAGGCGGGACUACCCGCUGAGUUUAAGCAUAUCAAUAAGCGGAGGA
This 403-nucleotide unclassified non-coding RNA is filed under the name soil metagenome. Its description in RNAcentral is "partial contains 5.8S ribosomal RNA, internal transcribed spacer 2, and large subunit ribosomal RNA". The stretch from base 5 to 121 matches the Rfam family "5.8S ribosomal RNA", at positions 40 to 154 of the family's 154-position model. The record is from RNAcentral.